CCCUCGUUACGGCGGGGAUUGGUCACGGUGUAUCUGAGGUACCUCGAUGUGGCUGGUCUGUCCACGUGUUCAUUCUGUAAAAAAAAAAGGACAUUUGGUGCUUGUCCAAAAAGACUCACUUGAUAGUGCUCCACGAUGUUGAGGAGCAGGUCCCUCAGCACCUGCUCACUGCCCCCGCAGCGUGCCAUGCACCAGUAAAAGUGGGUUUUUACUGGUGCGCCUACACGUACAGGCAUGUGGGCCAGGACACGGUGAUUGCUGUGAAGAAGAGGUUGGAAGAGUUGACAAGAUGAAGAUCAGGAUGUAGUUAUAGGUUUUCAGCUGUGUAAUCAUGUUAUGAAACAUAGUGGUGCAAUACAUGACAGAAUGCAUCAUAGAAUAAAUUCCACAGUACCGAUGCAUUUCAAUAGGGUUGACAGUAGGGUUUAUAUAGAUGUUGACAGAACAAAAAGGAAUAGAGUAAGUAGGAAAUUCAUAAAAACUCUGAAUGAAUACUACUACCAUUAGUACUGGGUUUUAAAAAAAUACUUGGUGGUCUGCUAAGUCUGUGUUGGUACUAUCAUCAAAUGUGAAAUAUCAAUAGUUAGGCGAUUACCCUACCU
This is a long non-coding RNA of Branchiostoma belcheri (Belcher's lancelet), 602 nucleotides long. RefSeq lists it as uncharacterized. Lineage: Eukaryota; Metazoa; Chordata; Leptocardii; Amphioxiformes; Branchiostomatidae. The record is from RefSeq and is a predicted model, not a curated record. The transcript is spliced from 3 exons.